This 460-nucleotide ribosomal RNA is filed under the name uncultured bacterium. RNAcentral's name for it is "partial 16S ribosomal RNA". It matches the Rfam family "Bacterial small subunit ribosomal RNA", at positions 338 to 795 of the family's 1533-position model. The record is from RNAcentral.
CCUACGGGUGGCAGCAGUGAGGAAUAUUGGUCAAUGGACGAGAGUCUGAACCAGCCAAGUAGCGUGAAGGAUGACUGCCCUAUGGGUUGUAAACUUCUUUUAUAUGGGAAUAAAAUGUUCCACGUGUGGGAUUUUGUAUGUACCAUAUGAAUAAGGAUCGGCUAACUCCGUGCCAGCAGCCGCGGUAAUACGGAGGAUCCGAGCGUUAUCCGGAUUUAUUGGGUUUAAAGGGAGCGUAGGUGGAUUGUUAAGUCAGUUGUGAAAGUUUGCAGCUCAACCGUAAAAUUGCAGUUGAAACUGGCAGUCUUGAGUACAGUAGAGGUGGGCGGAAUUCGUGGUGUAGCGGUGAAAUGCUUAGAUAUCACGGAGAACUCCGAUUGCGAAGGCAGUUCACUGGACUGCAACUGACACUGAGGCUCGAAAGUGUGGGUAUCAAACAGGAUUAGAUACCCUAGUAGUC